RNAcentral lists this ribosomal RNA (508 nucleotides) under uncultured bacterium. RNAcentral describes it as "bacterial SSU rRNA". It matches the Rfam family "Bacterial small subunit ribosomal RNA", at positions 9 to 512 of the family's 1533-position model. The record is from RNAcentral.
GAGUUUGAUCAUGGCUCAGAUUGAACGCUGGCGGCAGGCCUAACACAUGCAAGUCGAGCGGUAGAGAGAAGCUUGCUUCUCUUGAGAGCGGCGGAUGGGUGAGUAAUGCCUAGGAAUCUGCCUGGUAGUGGGGGAUAACGCUCGGAAACGGACGCUAAUACCGCAUACGUCCUACGGGAGAAAGCAGGGGACCUUCGGGCCUUGCGCUAUCAGAUGAGCCUAGGUCGGAUUAGCUAGUUGGUGAGGUAAUGGCUCACCAAGGCGACGAUCCGUAACUGGUCUGAGAGGAUGAUCAGUCACACUGGAACUGAGACACGGUCCAGACUCCUACGGGAGGCAGCAGUGGGGAAUAUUGGACAAUGGGCGAAAGCCUGAUCCAGCCAUGCCGCGUGUGUGAAGAAGGUCUUCGGAUUGUAAAGCACUUUAAGUUGGGAGGAAGGGCAGUAAAUUAAUACUUUGCUGUUUUGACGUUACCGACAGAAUAAGCACCGGCUAACUCUGUGCCACG